This 468-nucleotide ribosomal RNA is filed under the name uncultured bacterium. RNAcentral's name for it is "partial 16S ribosomal RNA". It matches the Rfam family "Bacterial small subunit ribosomal RNA", at positions 28 to 507 of the family's 1533-position model. The record is from RNAcentral.
GACGAACGCUGGCGGCGUGCUUAACACAUGCAAGUCGAACGGAAAGGCCCUGCUUUUGUGGGGUGCUCGAGUGGCGAACGGGUGAGUAACACGUGAGUAACCUGCCCUUGACUUUGGGAUAACUUCAGGAAACUUGGGCUAAUACCGGAUAGGAGCUCCUGCUGCAUGGUGGGGGUUGGAAAGUUUCGGCGGUUGGGGAUGGACUCGCGGCUUAUCAGCUUGUUGGUGGGGUAGUGGCUUACCAAGGCUUUGACGGGUAGCCGGCCUGAGAGGGUGACCGGCCACAUUGGGACUGAGAUACGGCCCAGACUCCUACGGGAGGCAGCAGUGGGGAAUAUUGCACAAUGGGAGGAAGCCUGAUGCAGCCACGCCGCGUGCGGGAUGACGGCCUUCGGGUUGUAAACCGCUUUCGCCUGUGACGAAGCGUGAGUGACGGUAAUGGGUAAAGAAGCACCGGCUAACUACGUG